UACAGAGGGUGCAAGCGUUAUCCGGAUUCACUGGGUUUAAAGGGUGCGUAGGUGGGUUGGUAAGUCAGUGGUGAAAUCCCCGAGCUUAACUUGGGAACUGCCAUUGAUACUAUCAGUCUUGAAUACUGUGGAGGUCAGCGGAAUAUGUCAUGUAGCGGUGAAAUGCUUAGAUAUGACAUAGAACACCAAUUGCGAAGGCAGCUGGCUACACAAAUAUUGACACUCAGGCACGAAAGCGUGGGGAUCAAACAGG
RNAcentral lists this ribosomal RNA (253 nucleotides) under uncultured bacterium. Its description in RNAcentral is "partial 16S ribosomal RNA". It matches the Rfam family "Bacterial small subunit ribosomal RNA", at positions 524 to 776 of the family's 1533-position model. The record is from RNAcentral.